AUUGAACGCUGGCGGCAGGCCUAACACAUGCAAGUCGAGCGGAUGAAGGGAGCUUGCUCCUGGAUUCAGCGGCGGACGGGUGAGUAAUGCCUAGGAAUCUGCCUGGUAGUGGGGGAUAACGUCCGGAAACGGGCGCUAAUACCGCAUACGUCCUGAGGGAGAAAGUGGGGGAUCUUCGGACCUCACGCUAUCAGAUGAGCCUAGGUCGGAUUAGCUAGUUGGUGGGGUAAAGGCCUACCAAGGCGACGAUCCGUAACUGGUCUGAGAGGAUGAUCAGUCACACUGGAACUGAGACACGGUCCAGACUCCUACGGGAGGCAGCAGUGGGGAAUAUUGGACAAUGGGCGAAAGCCUGAUCCAGCCAUGCCGCGUGUGUGAAGAAGGUCUUCGGAUUGUAAAGCACUUUAAGUUGGGAGGAAGGGCAGUAAGUUAAUACCUUGCUGUUUUGACGGUACCAACUGAAUAAGCACCGGCUAACUUCGUG
This 484-nucleotide ribosomal RNA is filed under the name uncultured bacterium. RNAcentral describes it as "partial 16S ribosomal RNA". It matches the Rfam family "Bacterial small subunit ribosomal RNA", at positions 30 to 507 of the family's 1533-position model. The record is from RNAcentral.